UUCGGUACAUCGGUGACAGGUGGUGCAUGGUUGUCGUCAGCUCGUGUCGUGAGAUGUUGGGUUAAGUCCCGCAACGAGCGCAACCCCUAUUGUUAGUUGCCAUCAUUCAGUUGGGCACUCUAGCGAGACUGCCGAUAAUAAACCGGAGGAAGGUGGGGAUGACGUCAAAUCAUCAUGCCCCUUAUGACCUGGGCUACACACGUGCUACAAUGGUUGGUACAACGAGUUGCGAGUCGGUGACGGCGAGCUAAUCUCUUAAAGCCAAUCUCAGUUCGGAUUGUAGGCUGCAACUCGCCUACAUGAAGCUGGAUUCGCUAGUAAUCGUAUAUCAGCCAUGAUACGGUCGAAUACGUUCCGGGCCUU
RNAcentral lists this ribosomal RNA (363 nucleotides) under uncultured Streptococcus sp. Its description in RNAcentral is "bacterial SSU rRNA". It matches the Rfam family "Bacterial small subunit ribosomal RNA", at positions 1019 to 1382 of the family's 1533-position model. The record is from RNAcentral. Lineage: Bacteria; Bacillati; Bacillota; Bacilli; Lactobacillales; Streptococcaceae.